RNAcentral lists this ribosomal RNA (484 nucleotides) under uncultured bacterium. RNAcentral describes it as "partial 16S ribosomal RNA". It matches the Rfam family "Bacterial small subunit ribosomal RNA", at positions 30 to 507 of the family's 1533-position model. The record is from RNAcentral.
AUUGAACGCUGGCGGCAGGCCUAACACAUGCAAGUCGAGCGGAUGAAGGGAGCUUGCUCCUGGAUUCAGCGGCGGACGGGUGAGUAAUGCCUAGGAAUCUGCCUUGUAGUGGGGGAUAACGUCCGGAAACGGGCGCUAAUACCGCAUACGUCCUGAGGGAGAAAGUGGGGGAUCUUCGGACCUCACGCUAUCAGAUGAGCCUAGGUCGGAUUAGCUAGUUGGUUGGGUAAAGGCCUACCAAGGCGACGAUCCGUAACUGGUCUGAGAGGAUGAUCAGUCACACUGGAACUGAGACACGGUCCAGACUACUACGGGAGGCAGCAGUGGGGAAUAUUGGACAAUGGGCGAAAGCCUGAUCCAGCAAUGCCGCGUGUGUGAAGAAGGUCUUCGGAUUGUAAAGCACUUUAAGUUGGGAGGAAGGGAAGUAAGUUAAUACCUUGCUGUUUUGACGUUACCAACAGAAUAAGCACCGGCUAACUUCGUG